RNAcentral lists this unclassified non-coding RNA (208 nucleotides) under Rhopaloeides odorabile. RNAcentral describes it as "sequence contains 5.8S rRNA gene, ITS2, 28S rRNA gene". The record is from RNAcentral. Lineage: Eukaryota; Metazoa; Porifera; Demospongiae; Dictyoceratida; Spongiidae.
GAGCAGGUCUGUCCGAGCGUCUGCCACCUGAAAACGUUGUCGUACACGUACGACAAGAGUGAGGGGCUGCACGCGCAAACCGCACUGCACCCCUUGAAGAGGCAUUGUGGACGGUGGACCGCGACCGGGUGAGACAAUCGUCGCCAUAAACGGUUGCGUCGUCUGGUCGGUGCCGUCGCUCUCUGCACCGUUUGGACCUCGGAUCAGG